GCAUAUCAAUAAGCGGAGGAAAAGAAACCAACAGGGAUUGCCCCAGUAACGGCGAGUGAAGCGGCAACAGCUCAAAUUUGAAAUCUGGCCCUCGGGCCCGAGUUGUAAUUUGGAGAGGAUGCUUCUGGCGCGGCGCCGUCCGAGUUCCUUGGAACAGGACGCCAUAGAGGGUGAGAGCCCCGUACGGGCGGCCGCCUAGCCUUUGCGAAGCUCCUUCGACGAGUCGAGUAGUUUGGGAAUGCUGCUCAAAAUGGGAGGUAAAUUUCUUCUAAAGCUAAAUACCGGCCAGAGACCGAUAGCGCACAAGUAGAGUGAUCGAAAGAUGAAAAGCACUUUGAAAAGAGGGUUAAAAAGUACGUGAAAUUGUUGAAAGGGAAGCGCCUGUGACCAGACUUGCNNNNNNCGAUCAUNNNNUGUUCCUCACCGGUGCGCUCCGCNNNCCGCNGGCCAGCAUCGGCUCUCCUGGGGGGACAAAGGUCGCGGGAACGUGGCUCCUUAGGGAGUGUUAUAGCCCGCUUCGUCAUGCCUCCGGGGGGGCCGAGGACCGCGCUUCGGCAAGGAUGCUGGCGUAAUGGUCACCGGCGACCCGUCUUGAAACACGGACCAAGGAGUCAAGCAUUGGGGCGAGUGUCUGGGUGCCAAACCCGCACGCGAAAUGAAAGUAAACGCAGGUGAGAGCUUCGGCGCAUCACCGACCGAUCCUGAUGUCUUCGGAUGGAUUUGAGUAAGAGCCUUACCGCUUGGACCCGAAAGAUGGUGAACUAUGCCUGUAUAGGGUGAAGCCAGAGGAAACUCUGGUGGAGGCUCGCAGCGGUUCUGACGUGCAAAUCGAUCGUCAAAUAUGGGCAUGGGGGCGAAAGACUAAUCGAACCAUCUAGUAGCUGGUUACCGCCGAAGUUUCCCUCAGGAU
Molecule: ribosomal RNA, 910 nt
Filed under: Ophiostoma piliferum
Lineage: Eukaryota; Fungi; Ascomycota; Sordariomycetes; Ophiostomatales; Ophiostomataceae
Description: LSU rRNA
Rfam family: Eukaryotic large subunit ribosomal RNA
Source: RNAcentral